RNAcentral lists this ribosomal RNA (254 nucleotides) under uncultured bacterium. RNAcentral describes it as "partial 16S ribosomal RNA". It matches the Rfam family "Bacterial small subunit ribosomal RNA", at positions 524 to 776 of the family's 1533-position model. The record is from RNAcentral.
UACGUAGGGUGCAAGCGUUUGUCCGGAAUUAUUGGGCGUAAAGAGCUCGUAGGCGGUUUGUCGCGUCUGCUGUGAAAACCCGAGGCUCAACCUCGGGCCUGCAGUGGGUACGGGCAGACUAGAGUGCGGUAGGGGAGAUUGGAAUUCCUGGUGUAGCGGUGGAAUGCGCAGAUAUCAGGAGGAACACCAAUGGCGAAGGCAGAUCUCUGGGCAUUAACUGACGCUGAGGAGCGAAAGCAUGGGGAGCGAACAGG